This 1137-nucleotide long non-coding RNA is filed under the name Nicotiana benthamiana. RNAcentral describes it as "long non-coding RNA (NBEN_LNC025690)". The record is from RNAcentral. Lineage: Eukaryota; Viridiplantae; Streptophyta; Magnoliopsida; Solanales; Solanaceae.
AAGAAGUCUUGGCAGGCUCGUCAUACGGGUAUUAAGAUUGUUCAGCAGAUCGCUAUUCUCAUUGGUUGUGCUGUUCUUCCACAUUUGAGGUCUUUGGUGGAAAUUAUUGAACAUGGUCUCAAUGAUGAGAACCAGAAGGUCAGAACUAUUACAGCUCUUUCUCUGGCUGCUCUUGCUGAAGCUGCUGCGCCAUAUGGUAUUGAGAGUUUUGAUUCAGUUUUGAAGCCCUUAUGGAAGGGUAUUAGAUCACAUCGUGGCAAGGUUUUGGCUGCCUUCUUAAAGGCUAUAGGCUUCAUCAUUCCUCUUAUGGAUGCUGUAUACGCCAGCUACUACACCAAAGAAGUUAUGGUUAUUCUUAUCCGUGAGUUUCAAUCACCUGAUGAGGAGAUGAAGAAAAUUGUGUUGAAAGUGGUGAAGCAGUGUGUGAGUACAGAAGGUGUGGAGCCGGAUUACAUCCGUCAAGACAUACUUCCAGAGUUCUUCAGGAACUUCUGGGUCAGAAGAAUGGCUUUGGACCGCAGAAACUACAAGCAGCUUGUUGAAACGGAGUUCUUUAGGAACUUCUGGGUCAGAAGAAUGGCUUUGGACCGCAGAAACUACAAGCAGCUUGUUGAAACCACUGUGGAGAUAGCAAACAAAGUUGGUGUAGCUGAUAUAGUUGGGAGAAUUGUGGAAGACCUCAAAGAUGAAAGUGAACCAUACCGAAGAAUGGUUAUGGAGACCAUUGAGAAAGUGGUUGCGAAUCUUGGUGCAUCUGAUAUUGAUGCUCGAUUGGAAGAGCUUUUAAUUGAUGGAAUCCUUUAUGCCUUCCAAGAGCAGACCAGUGACGACGCCAAUGUGAUGCUUAAUGGAUUUGGUGCUGUUGUAAAUGCACUUGGCCAAAGAGUUAAACCAUACCUUCCUCAGAUUUGUGGUACCAUAAAAUGGCGACUGAACAACAAGAGUGCAAAGGUGAGACAGCAAGCUGCAGAUCAUAUCAUUAAACCAUACCUUCCUCAGAUUUGUGGUACCAUAAAAUGGCGACUGAACAACAAGAGUGCAAAGGUGAGACAGCAAGCUGCAGAUCUGAUAUCCAGAAUUGCAGUGGUUAUGAAGCAGUGUGGGGAAGAGCAACUAAUGGGCCAUCUUGGUGUUGUC